Molecule: long non-coding RNA, 454 nt
Filed under: Brassica napus (rape)
Lineage: Eukaryota; Viridiplantae; Streptophyta; Magnoliopsida; Brassicales; Brassicaceae
Description: long non-coding RNA (BNAP_LNC021869)
Source: RNAcentral
AGUGAGGAAAAAAGAUUUUUUUGUAGCUUCUUGUGAUUAAUCUCCAUAUUUUUGCCGAGAAGUUACACUAUGGUCCCGGUUCUCUGUCACAGGACUAGGCAUACACAAAGUAAACAUUUUGUCUCAGUUAAAGUUGAGAUAUGGUAACAGUAGAAUGAUCAUUGUUCAAAUUUGAUAUUUCAUCUUGUUUUUUUUGUCAGCGAUAUUUCAUCUUGUUUAUUCAAGAGAUUUUAAUAUAUAUGUAUAAUAAUUUAUCUUCCAAUAAUUCAAAGUUCAAACUAUUUUUGCAUUCCUUGUUUUUAUCAUUGCCCAGAUUACAUUCUAGUUAUCCCUAAUAAAAAGAUGAGAUGGACCUUUUACUCCUUUUAUUUAAUUAACAGUAAAUUACCAAUUCCACUAGGCGCGAGAUGAACAUUAUAUAUAAAAAUUAUUUUAUGUAUUAAAUAUUUUUACA